CGCCGAACAUCGCGAGCUUCAACUGCGUCAGGAAAUAUUCCAGCAGCGCUGUGUAGAUGAACUUGGAAUUCUCAGGUCCCGCGACCCAGACGAACGGCCACACCAGCACGUUGUAGAUUUGCUUGGCGAAGAAGAAACAGAAGAUGAAUGCGAGCGCGAACGCGAGUAGCGCCUUGAUGAGCCGCGAGCGCAGCUCGAUCAGGUGA
RNAcentral lists this unclassified non-coding RNA (206 nucleotides) under Hevea brasiliensis (rubber tree). The record is from RNAcentral. Lineage: Eukaryota; Viridiplantae; Streptophyta; Magnoliopsida; Malpighiales; Euphorbiaceae.